Molecule: long non-coding RNA, 342 nt
Filed under: Solanum lycopersicum (tomato)
Lineage: Eukaryota; Viridiplantae; Streptophyta; Magnoliopsida; Solanales; Solanaceae
Description: long non-coding RNA (SLYC_LNC001138)
Source: RNAcentral
GGAAACUAAGAGCAUCCACACAAUCACAACUAAAUAAAUGAGAAAAGGCAGAAAAGCCAUGAGAACACGAUCAAUCUUCAGGCUCAUCAACUUCUGGGGUCUCAACUUCAGCAGUCUCUUGCUCAGCUUCCUGCACCUCCUUCUCUGUCUUCUUUCCUUUCUUAGACUUAUAGUACACACUCAUGAAGGUUCCGAUGGCUCUAUACUUUUUCCUGCAGUUCUCAUAUAGGCUUCCAUCAAACAUUCUCCAGAAGUUCUUCUCCGUCAGCUCAGAGACAGCAUACUGUGGCUGGAAUCCAUGGUUCUCAAUCAACCAACUCUCCAACUUACGGACUGCCUCUA